AAUAAAUAAAUAAAUAAAUAAAGCUUCAAACUACAAAGGGUCAAUAUCUGACCUUUUCUAUACUAACAUGGCUUUGAAGAAUCAAUAUUUUUCAUUUUCUUUACCUAAAAGGAAAGCACUACGAAGCACCAUGUUAGUACCCAGAGACAUGCUGUCUGGAUCUAUUACUGUGGUUGUAUUCCUAAAGUACACUUUCAUAUUAAUAAUUUAAAAAGCAUUCUCAAUAUUUUUUUUAGAAAUACUUCUCUUUUAAGCAAGAAAAAUAAAAUCAUGAAAAUAAUUAGAUUUUCAGAUAAAAUAAGAACUCUGCCACAGCUGUAGAAUAUGAAACAUUUGUUUAACAAUUAUAACAAGGAAAUGUAUAGGAAUAGUGUACUCAGUUGCUACUGAAUGAUUGAUGGACAUUGCUUGAAAAUAUACUAUUAGAUAUUCAGGAACAAUUAGAUUUAACCCACAAAUUGAAUCAUCUUUGGAAAGAAACUGCUCCCAGUUUUAGGGAAACUUAUCUGUCUGUCUUAUCAAAUGUCGUUCUUCUCACAGAGUCAUCUUUCCAAAGUAAACAGGAAUGGAAUGCUAUGUGAACAUUUUUCCUAUUAUGUAAGUCAAUUCACUAGCAUUGGAGAACCACUUGACACAAUGUGAUGGUUAAUUUAGAGUACAAAAUGGUGUAGACACUAUGAUCCCAUUUGUUAAAUACUUGUAUAUAAAUUUAUAUGUGUGUAUUUUGGAUAGGUGUGCACAAAAUAUUUACUCUUUGUAUCUGGUUUGCAACACAGAAUUUUAUUUUACAUUUUAUGAUUUUUUUAUAGUCUAAAUUUUAUACAAUGAGUAUAUGUGCACACACACAUACAUAAUUUUAUUAUAAAAGCCAAUAUGCUUUCAAGAAUAAAAAAAUAGAUAGCUUUCAGAAAGAGGCAGAUUUUAAGCCAAUUAUAAUUAUCAUGAUAAUCAAAUGAAUAAUAUUAUAAUUUGUAUUUUGACCAUAUUUUUCCAAUAUGUAAUAUUUAGUAAUGUGAACAUUUUCUGGAUUUGGCAGAAGUCACAGAUACAUGAUCUCUUCUAUAUUCUGCCUACAGUCUAGGUACUAAUCAGAUGAUUAGCAUUUCAAUGGUAUAGCAAAAGCAAGUUGAUUAGAUUUAUCUCAUAUAUAUGAAACUAAGAAAACUAGGGAGAUGCAAUUUAAUAACAAAUACUACUUAAAUGUGUGUAGUGAUGUAGUUAACACAGAUUCAUUGUCUUUAUUUACCACACCAAAGCCAUGAAAUGUCCCAGAAAAAACAAAAUUAAUUCUUUUUAAAUAACAUUUUUGAAUAUUUUUGAUACCUCCUAAAUUAUACAUUCUUUAUGAGUGCCUUGCUAAAUUUUUAACAUCUGGGAAAUACUGAUCAUUUUACUUAUUAACCAUUAUCUUGUUUUGUCUUAGGUAGCAUUUGAGCACAUACUGAACACUGUAAUUUAUCAAUUUUUAAUAUGUCCCCAAAUGGUUUCAAAACAAUAAAUUAUCCUGGCACAAACCAAAUGGCUCCCUUAUAUCUCACUUUUCAUCAGACUCUAAACUUCAGCAGCUCCUUUUCUUUCCCUUUCCCAUUCUCGCAGUAGUGAUGAUAAUAAAGGGAGAAGGAGACGAGAAAGGAAAAAAGGCAGAAGAGGAGGAGGAAAAAUAUGGAGAAGGAGGUGGAGGAGGAGAAAUGGGAAGGAAAAGAGGAAGAAAAAGGAGGAAAAAGAAUGAAGAGAAAAAGAGAAAGAAAAAGAAAAAAUAUUUAAUGAAAUAUGCCUGUCGUGAUAUCAGGCUAUUUAUAGAAAAUAUGUUGUUCAGUCCACAUAAUAGCCAUGUGCAGAUUGCAUUCAUUUUUGCAUUUACCUGUGAGAAAAUCAACAUUCACAGAGAAGCUAAGUAACUUGGUAAAGUUCACACAUAAUAGCUAAAACCUCAAUCAGAGCCUAGGUUUUCUGACUCCCAAAUACUUCGCACUUUAUUGCCUUGAAUUUUGCCUUCUCUCCCCUCCACCCCUCCCUUACUUUCUGAACACCAACUUUCACUAAUGUGAGCUACCCUCCGGGAAUAACACAGUCACAGGCUCACCCUCUAUAAAAUGACUCUUUCCUUCUAUUCUGAAUUUCCAUUUUACAUAGAUGCUGGAAAUAUUUUGUUGUUUAAACUAUAAAAUAUUUGUGCAUUUUUGGACAUAUUUUAAGCAAAAUAAAAUAUUAAAAAAUACUCACUUUCAAAUUCAUUUUUACAUUUUUCAUGUUUACAAAUAAACCUGACAAUGCUUAACAGAGAAUUUAAUCUCCAAUUAAUGAUGCAAGAUAAAACGGUCAAUUGAGGUAAUUAAUUCCCUGUGUAAUUUAUGUGAAAAUUAUUUUAGUCUUCUGGGGGUCAAGUUUAAGGGAAACUUGAUUAAAUUCAUUACCCAUUCACUUAAUUCUCUGAAUUCCAUAUUUUAAUGUGUAAUUUUUUUUAAUUUUAGACAAUUAUGAAAAAGACAAAUGUUGAAUAUAAAAUCAAUGCAAAAUGAAGUCAUACAGAUUUUUCUAUGAAAACAGCACUAAUUCAACUCCCAACUUUCAUUCAGUUCUUUAAGUCCCCUCUCAGUAUUCCAGUGCAUCAAGAAUUUGUUGAUUUAAUUUUCUUGAAGAACUUGAAAACUCUUGAAGAACUCCCAGAGGCUUCUGACUUUCCCUAGACCAAACUACGCCUGCUCUAAGUCUGGCGAAAAAUGAAUGGGCUUUCAGAAAUCAACUUUAUGAAGAAUUCCAAAAGAUAACCACAAAAAGAAUAGAAGAUGCCCUGGAGUGUCAAAACUGACAGUGUCUCCACUGUGGUUGUGCAGUAAAUAAUCCUCACAUGAUACCUCUCAAAUGAAUGCAAAGGGAAAGACAGUGGUUGAAGAAAUUAAAAAGUAUAUAAAGACUACCAGUUCCCAGCCUUCUUCCACUUGGACAGAGCCAUGCCACUGAGGUCUAGUGGAGCCUAAAUAAUUGGAAGUGGCCAAGGCAGGCUCUUAGUGUCUAAGGGCCCUGUUUUGCACACUCACUGAUCAGGAAAAGGUGAUAAAUACCUGAAAGACCUCUGAUGCUUCUCAUAGCCCUGUAAUAUAGCCUCUUGUAAACAGAAUUUAAGCCAUGUAUCGGGAUAUACUGUGAUUGCAGAAAUGAUAACAUACAUCAUUAGACUGAGAAAGGAGACUCAUCUAAGCAACUGAGAAGAAGAGUGGAAAAGAAUGAAAUAAAAGAAACAACUGUCAUCCAAUAUGUUAACCUCAAAUAUGAGAAAAUUAAUAUUUAUAAUGAAUAAAGAACCAAUAUAUUUGUGUGAG
Long non-coding RNA from Felis catus (domestic cat), 3320 nucleotides. RefSeq lists it as uncharacterized. The transcript is spliced from 9 exons. Lineage: Eukaryota; Metazoa; Chordata; Mammalia; Carnivora; Felidae. The record is from RefSeq and is a predicted model, not a curated record.